GUAACGAGCAUCUUACCAUGAUGAGUGUGAUAAUCAUUUUUCUUUCAACAGGGCCCCUGAAUGCGAGCCAACUGCUUCAUUUGGUUCUCAGCUGAAGAAAUAGAUCUGUUCCUAUGCCGGAGAGAAAACCAGAUGUCCUGGAUUGAGAAAUGCUUCCUCACCGUGACUGUUUUUCUGUUGAACAGCGAUGAGUGGUGGUAGGCAUUUUCGAUAUCUGGCUAAAGAGAAGUUGAGUUGGGGAACAUGAAGUUUGGAUUGAGCGGCAUAUAUUUCUGCAGUUUGCAGAAUUUCCAUGUUUAGUUAGGUUAUUAUUAGGCCUCCUGGUGUAGGAACGGCUUCCAGGAAUGCUCCUUUCCCUACCAUGUCAAUUCAUCUGGUGCCAUCUCAUAAAAGUGCAGGGC
RNAcentral lists this long non-coding RNA (401 nucleotides) under Equus caballus (horse). RNAcentral describes it as "lncRNA (ENSECAG00000056600.1)". The record is from RNAcentral. Lineage: Eukaryota; Metazoa; Chordata; Mammalia; Perissodactyla; Equidae.